GCCCUGAUUAGAGGGGAAUCACCCACCUGGUGUCCCAGGUCUAAAUCAGGCCCUGAUUAGAGGGGAAUCACCCACCUGGUGUCCCAGGUCUAAAUCAGUCCCUGAUUAGAGGGGAAUCACCCACCUGGUGUCCCAGGUCUAAAUCAGGCCCUGAUUAGAGGGGAAUCACCCACCUGGUGUCCCAGGUCUAAAUCAGGCCCUGAUUAAAGGGAAGAAUGACUGGUGUCUCAGGUCUAAAUCAGGCCCUGAUUAGAGGGGAAUCACCCACCUGGUGUCCCAGGUCUAAAUCAGGCCCUGAUUAGAGGGGAAUCACCCACCUGGUGACCCAGGUCUAAAUCAGGCCCUGAUUAGAGGGGAAUCACCCACCUGGUGUCCCAGGUCUAAAUCAGGCCCUGAUUAGAGGGGAAUCACCCACCUGGUGUCUCAGGUCUAAAUCAGGCCCUGAUUAGAG
Oncorhynchus keta (chum salmon) is the source of this 451-nucleotide long non-coding RNA. RefSeq lists it as uncharacterized. Lineage: Eukaryota; Metazoa; Chordata; Actinopteri; Salmoniformes; Salmonidae. The record is from RefSeq and is a predicted model, not a curated record. The transcript is spliced from 5 exons.